This 452-nucleotide ribosomal RNA is filed under the name Camillina calel. RNAcentral's name for it is "eukaryotic LSU rRNA". It matches the Rfam family "Eukaryotic large subunit ribosomal RNA", at positions 1139 to 1569 of the family's 3401-position model. Lineage: Eukaryota; Metazoa; Arthropoda; Arachnida; Araneae; Gnaphosidae. The record is from RNAcentral.
GGUAAGCAAAACUGGCGCUGUGGGAUGAACCAAACGCCGGGUUACGGCGCCCGAUGCGAGACGCUCAUGAAACCCCAUGAAAGGUGUUGGUUGCUCCAAACAGCAGGACGGUGGCCAUGGAAGUCGGAAUCCGCUAAGGAGUGUGUAACAACUCACCUGCCGAACCAACUAGCCCUGAAAAUGGAUGGCGCUCCAGCGUCAAGCCCAUACCCGGCCGCUUCCGCAAAGCUUCUUAUUUAGGAGGUUUACGCGGAAGUGAGUAGGAGGGUCGCGGCGGGGUGCGUUGAAGGUGCCGGGCGCGAGCCCGCCUGGAGCCCCCGUCGGUGCACAUCUUGGUGGUAGUAGCAAAUACUCAAGUGAGAACCUUGAGGACUGAAGGUGGAGAAGGGUUCCAUGUGAACAGCAGUUGAACAUGGGUCAGUCGGCCCUAAGGGAUCGGAGAAAUCCGUUCC